GGUGGUCGUUGUCCUUGUUAGCAGCGGGAGAGAAGCAAGAUGAAUCCCCUCGGUUUCUGAUGUUCUGGGCCGCCACAGAUGUCGCUGCCAGAGAAGGGAGCUACGUCUCUGUGAUUCUAACUGUCGGGAGUGGUUUUGUGACUUUCGGACCACCGCUGAAGCUUCUGGCUGUUUCUGCCGUCGCCGAAAAAUUCUGCCGGUAAGGGUUUUAAUUAAGGUUUCUGUCUUUUUGGAUUUCUAGAAAGUUUUGAUGCUGCAUGGUUAUUAUAGUUGAUCUGCCAGAGCUUCUCGCCACUACUGGAGUUGUUGCCGGGUCGGUUCGGAAUCGCAGCUGCUUCAUUUUGUUAUUUCGAGCUGUUUAUGCUGCUGCGAAAAUGUGUGGGGCUGUGCUUUGAAGUUGCCAUUGGUUUUGGGUUGAGAUGAAAGGAUUUCUGAGAGGCGUUUGGAUUAUAGUUUCAAUUUGUUGAGGAUUUGGGCUCAGAAGU
Arachis ipaensis is the source of this 485-nucleotide non-coding RNA. The record is from RefSeq and is a predicted model, not a curated record. NCBI's taxonomy places the organism in Eukaryota, Viridiplantae, Streptophyta, Magnoliopsida, Fabales, Fabaceae.